GAGCCUAAGGUAGUGGUGAAGUCUAAGGAGAGACUCGAGGACAUGGUUGUCUGUUCCAAGUGAAACAUGUAUGGACCAAAUGGAGGUUAGAAGAUAAACCAAGUAUAUCCAAUCUUAGAAGGGAGAUCAGGUUCAAGAUAGCUAGUCAGAGGUUUAGUGUUAGUGAGCAACUGUAAUGGAAUGUUGAGUUACCUAAAGAUCAAUUAUAAGAGUUUGUGUUGGAAACAGAUAACGCAUAUUAUAUAGUAAUGGAAGCUCUAGUGAGUUUU
RNAcentral lists this long non-coding RNA (269 nucleotides) under Lathyrus oleraceus (garden pea). RNAcentral's name for it is "Pisum sativum (pea) long non-coding RNA (PSAT_LNC037008)". The record is from RNAcentral. Lineage: Eukaryota; Viridiplantae; Streptophyta; Magnoliopsida; Fabales; Fabaceae.